This 393-nucleotide long non-coding RNA is filed under the name Bos taurus (domestic cattle). Its description in RNAcentral is "long non-coding RNA NONBTAT008044". The record is from RNAcentral. Lineage: Eukaryota; Metazoa; Chordata; Mammalia; Artiodactyla; Bovidae.
GUUAGCUGUGGGUUUUCGAGUUACAAAUAUGGUAGAAAGCUGACUUGUUAAAACUUGUAGCCACUCUUUCAUAGUCUGCAAUGUACCUCACCAUCAUUCUUUGCAGUGAGAUGCAAAUGAAGAAGUAAGACACCCAGUAUAACAGUUAAGCAAGUAUUUGUGUCCCACUGGUUUUUGUUUUCUUAGUUUAACUCUAGGGUGUUCUUUUCCCUUUGUAAAACUCAGUAUGUUACUGGACUAUUCUGAAAUCCAAAAUCUUAUAAAAAGUUUUCUUCUAUUGAUACUUCUAUGGUUUCUCUCUCAUUUUAUCUCUUCUUCCUCCACUGAGAGCACUUAGGUUUUAGUAAUGUGCACUCCUACAUGUAAAGAGAAACCUUGGAAUAUUGCUUUUCU